This 403-nucleotide unclassified non-coding RNA is filed under the name soil metagenome. RNAcentral describes it as "partial contains 5.8S ribosomal RNA, internal transcribed spacer 2, and large subunit ribosomal RNA". The stretch from base 1 to 121 matches the Rfam family "5.8S ribosomal RNA", at positions 35 to 154 of the family's 154-position model. The record is from RNAcentral.
GAUGAAGAACGUAGCGAAAUGCGAUAAGUAAUGUGAAUUGCAGAAUUCAGUGAAUCAUCGAAUCUUUGAACGCACCUUGCGCCCUUUGGCUAUUCCGAAGGGCAUGCCUGUUUGAGUAUCAUGAACCCCUCAACUCUUCACGGCUUGCCGUGAUGAGUUUGGACUUUGGGGGUCUUGCUGGCCUACGAGCCAGCUCCUCUCAAAUGUAUUAGCUUGCCGGUGUUUGGUGGCAUCACAGGUGUGAUAACUAUCUACGCUUGUGGUUUUCCACUAGGUAACCUUCAGCAAUGGAGGUUCACCGGAGCUCACAAAUGUCUCUCCUUGCCAAGGACAGAUUUUGACCAUUUGAUCUCAAAUCAGGUAGGACUACCCGCUGAACUUAAGCAUAUCAAUAAGCGGAGGA